GACGAACGCUGGCGGCGUGCUUAACACAUGCAAGUCGAGCGGAAAGGCCCUUCGGGGUACUCGAGCGGCGAACGGGUGAGUAACACGUGAGUAACCUGCCCUAGGCUUUGGGAUAACCCCGGGAAACCGGGGCUAAUACCGGAUAUGACCUGGUGCCGCAUGGUGUUGGGUGGAAAGUUUUUUCGGCCUGGGUUGGGCUCGGGGCCUAUCAGCUUGUUGGUGGGGUGAUGGCAUACCAAGGCGAUGACGGGUAGCCGGCCUGCGAGGGCGACCGGCCACACUGGGACUGAGACACGGCACAGACUCCUACGGGAGGCAGCAGUGGGGAAUAUUGCACAAUGGGCGGAAGGCUGAUGCGGCGACGCCGUGUGAGGGAUGAAGGCCUUCGGGUUGUAAACCUCUUUCAGCAGGGACGAAGCGUGAGUGACGGUACCUGCAGAAGAAGCGCCGGCCAACUACGUG
This 462-nucleotide ribosomal RNA is filed under the name uncultured bacterium. Its description in RNAcentral is "partial 16S ribosomal RNA". It matches the Rfam family "Bacterial small subunit ribosomal RNA", at positions 28 to 507 of the family's 1533-position model. The record is from RNAcentral.